AUUGAACGCUGGCGGCAUGCUUUACACAUGCAAGUCGAACGGCAGCGCGGGCUUCGGCCUGGCGGCGAGUGGCGAACGGGUGAGUAAUGCAUCGGAACGUGCCCAGUAGUGGGGGAUAGCCCGGCGAAAGCCGGAUUAAUACCGCAUACGACCUGAGGGUGAAAGCGGGGGACCGAAAGGCCUCGCGCUAUUGGAGCGGCCGAUGUCGGAUUAGCUAGUUGGUGGGGUAAAGGCUUACCAAGGCGACGAUCCGUAGCUGGCCUGAGAGGACGACCAGCCACACUGGGACUGAGACACGGCCCAGACUCCUACGGGAGGCAGCAGUGGGGAAUUUUGGACAAUGGGGGCAACCCUGAUCCAGCCAUGCCGCGUGCGGGAAGAAGGCCUUCGGGUUGUAAACCGCUUUUGUUCGGGAAGAAAUCCUCUGGGCUAAUACCCCGGGGGGAUGACGGUACCGGAAGAAUAAGCACCGGCUAACUACGU
This 483-nucleotide ribosomal RNA is filed under the name uncultured bacterium. RNAcentral describes it as "partial 16S ribosomal RNA". It matches the Rfam family "Bacterial small subunit ribosomal RNA", at positions 28 to 506 of the family's 1533-position model. The record is from RNAcentral.